Molecule: ribosomal RNA, 986 nt
Filed under: Gliocladiopsis sp. RFL1
Lineage: Eukaryota; Fungi; Ascomycota; Sordariomycetes; Hypocreales; Nectriaceae
Description: SSU rRNA
Rfam family: Eukaryotic small subunit ribosomal RNA
Source: RNAcentral
CGAAUGGCUCAUUAUAUAAGUUAUCGUUUAUUUGAUAGUACCUUACUACUUGGAUAACCGUGGUAAUUCUAGAGCUAAUACAUGCUAAAAAUCCCGACUUCGGAAGGGAUGUAUUUAUUAGAUUAAAAACCAAUGCCCUUCGGGGCUCCUUGGUGAUUCAUGAUAACUCCUCGAAUCGCAUGGCCUUGUGCCGGCGAUGGUUCAUUCAAAUUUCUUCCCUAUCAACUUUCGAUGUUUGGGUAUUGGCCAAACAUGGUUGCAACGGGUAACGGAGGGUUAGGGCUCGACCCCGGAGAAGGAGCCUGAGAAACGGCUACUACAUCCAAGGAAGGCAGCAGGCGCGCAAAUUACCCAAUCCCGACACGGGGAGGUAGUGACAAUAAAUACUGAUACAGGGCUCUUUCGGGUCUUGUAAUUGGAAUGAGUACAAUUUAAAUCCCUUAACGAGGAACAAUUGGAGGGCAAGUCUGGUGCCAGCAGCCGCGGUAAUUCCAGCUCCAAUAGCGUAUAUUAAAGUUGUUGUGGUUAAAAAGCUCGUAGUUGAACCUUGGGCCUGGCUGGCCGGUCCGCCUCACCGCGUGUACUGGUCCGGCCGGGCCUUUCCCUCUGUGGAACCCCAUGCCCUUCACUGGGUGUGGCGGGGAAACAGGACUUUUACUUUGAAAAAAUUAGAGUGCUCCAGGCAGGCCUAUGCUCGAAUACAUUAGCAUGGAAUAAUAGAAUAGGACGUGUGGUUCUAUUUUGUUGGUUUCUAGGACCGCCGUAAUGAUUAAUAGGGACAGUCGGGGGCAUCAGUAUUCAAUUGUCAGAGGUGAAAUUCUUGGAUUUAUUGAAGACUAACUACUGCGAAAGCAUUUGCCAAGGAUGUUUUCAUUAAUCAGGAACGAAAGUUAGGGGAUCGAAGACGAUCAGAUACCGUCGUAGUCUUAACCAUAAACUAUGCCGACUAGGGAUCGGACGAUGUUAUUUUUUGACUCGUUCGGCAC